AGAUGUCCGGAGUUCCCCGAACCCCAAUCGUUCCUAUAGUUCAAGCCCAUACAGCAGGUACUGUAUCUUACCAGAUGUCCGGAGUUCCCCGAACCCCAAUCGUUCCUAUAGUUCAAGCCCAUACAGCAGGUACUGUAUCUUACCAGAUGUCCGGAGUUCCCCGAACCCCAAUCGUUCCUAUAGUUCAAGCCCAUACAGCAGGCAUCCGUGUUGUUUGAGAGGGAGGAGGAUGCUAAGAAGCUGGCUAGCUGUAAGAACCUGACCAUCAAAGGCCAGACCGUCACCGUACUAACGGAGAAAGAUGCUCUGCUGGACGACUCCAAGGAACUGAGCCAAACCAACAAGUCUACCGAUGAAAAACAAUAUCGUGAUGCCGGGGCUUCCUCCUGAAGUGGAUUCUAGAACCAGAAUUCCUGCGAGUCGUUGUAGCAGUAUUCCGUGAACUGUAAACCCUCCUAGUGGGAUUAAACAUUAUGCUGCAUUUCAAGCCGAUGACUCUUGAGGGAGGAGCUGAAUGGCAGUUUGAUCAUGACAUCACUUCCCCUUACAGCUUUACAAUGUUAUCCCCUGACCUUUUACAACACUGAUCGUACUGUGUUGUCUUCCUGUGUGUGUGUUUCUUUGGGAAAGGACAUUUUUUCACCAUGACCACCGGUUUUCUUAACUACAGAUUGUUACAGCAGAUAAUGUGAUUUUAACCAAAGAUCGUUGUAGCACAGAGAAUUCUUCACCAGCCUCGGUGACGCCGUCCUCGACUCAAGGAAACAGGAGUCUCAAGUGUCUCGUGUUCAGUUGCAAGGUGGUCAGUUUUUAAUUUAGAAAAUGCUCCUCCCAUUUAUUAAAAUUGUGUGUGUGUGGCAAGUGGAAUUAUGCGGUUUGCUUUCAAAAUAAAAGUAUGUUAAAUUACAGUAAUGCAAAUUAUUACAUAUAGUAGAAUUAUGCCCUACUUUUAUUUUGAAGGCUAACUGCAAAGGCCACAAUUUCUAUUUUUUUUUUCACCUUUAUUUAACCAGGUAGGCCAGUUGAGAACAAGUUCUCAUUUACUGCGACCCGAUGAAGCAAAGCAGUGUGACACAAACAACAACACAGAGUUACACACGGAGUAAACAUGCAACAUGGGAUAAACAAACGUACAGUCAAUAACACAACAGGGGGAAAAAAAAGUCUAUAUACAGUUUGUGCAAAUGGCACGGGGAGGUAAGGCAAUAAAUAGGCCAUGGUAGAGAAGUAAUUACAAUUUAGUAAAUUUACACAGGAGUGAUAAAUGUGCAGGUCUUCCCUCAAUGGAGAUAUAAGACUUAAGAAAUAGAUGAUAUGUGUGUGUGUGUGUGUGAAAUAUCUUUGGGUUAAAAUCACAUUGUUGCACCAGAGAAAUCUGUAGCUAUAGUUUUCUGCACUUGUCUCUCUACACCUGAGACGCCCUGAACUGUACUAGACUAAUGUUAGACCGGUCAUAAAUGUUUUUUUGUUGGUUUACCAUAGACCGGUCAUAAAUGUUUUUGUUGUUGUUUUACCAUAGAACAUCCUUGUUGAAUUUCCCAGUUCUCUUUGAGUCAGAAUUAAAUAGUGUACAAUCCCCUGUAUUUUAGAUUUGGGACGAAUAAACCUUGGAAUAUGUGAA
Long non-coding RNA from Oncorhynchus keta (chum salmon), 1621 nucleotides. RefSeq lists it as uncharacterized. The record is from RefSeq and is a predicted model, not a curated record. Lineage: Eukaryota; Metazoa; Chordata; Actinopteri; Salmoniformes; Salmonidae. The transcript has 4 exons.